Molecule: long non-coding RNA, 629 nt
Filed under: Lathyrus oleraceus (garden pea)
Lineage: Eukaryota; Viridiplantae; Streptophyta; Magnoliopsida; Fabales; Fabaceae
Description: Pisum sativum (pea) long non-coding RNA (PSAT_LNC018876)
Source: RNAcentral
AAAAAUAGAAAAUAAAAAAUAAAAUAAUAACAAUAAAAAAUUAGAAAACAAAUAAAAAUAAAUUCAAAAUAUUAACAACCUGAAAAUUUAAAAUAGAAAAGAAAAUAAACUAAGACAAAAAUAAAGAUAAAACAACAAAUAAAUAGAAACAAAGAAAAUAAAAAACUAAAAUUUUAAAUUUUAAAUAAAAAAACACAACCCAAGAACUAAAAGUGCCUAGAAUAAAAAUAAAAGAGAAAAUAAAUAUAAACAAAGAAAAUUUAAAAUCAAACUUAAAAAUAAAAUAAAAAGUAACAAAUGAAAUACAAAAUUUGCCUUGUUGAAGUUAUCAACAAUCUCCGGCAACUGCGUCAAAUAUUUGAUGACAUUCUUAGCAAGUAUACUAAUACGGCCGAAGUAAUAAAAACAAAUUUGUUUCCAUAGGGAUUGCAACUUUAAUAAGGUAUUAAUCGUGUGAUUUUAAAAUAACAACGAGGGGUUUUUAGAUUGAUUUUUUUUUAGAAAUUAUUUACGCGAAUAAAACUUGAGAAAGUGAUUAUAUCUUAUUCGAAUCACUUAAUUUUUCCAUGUUAAUAAUUGUGCAUUAUUUGAAUAGAAUUGACUCUAUAAUUUUACGGUGAAUUAACAAU